CAUUGCCUGGCUGUAGGACUGCUGUGAAUGACCUGGAGGAUUGUGGCUUUCCUCCAUAUAAGCAGCCAGUUUGUAACCUGCUGCAUGCAAGAACCAUUAUAGUAAUGCCUGCCUGAGUCUGCAGAGAGCCUAAAGCCUUAGCUCCGAGAGGUGCCAGGUACCCCUUUCAGCACCAAGGAGCAUAAAACCAGAUGUUCACUGAAGAGACGUCGCUCCCCAUAGAAACUAUGAAAACUGUCUCUUACAAGACACAGAUCAAGACAUUUCAAUAGGAAUGACAAUUUACCAAAUUGCUUAAUGCUUCCUCUUUGAAAUUGGCUUAACGCUGAAAUGAAUAAGACUCCUAUAACCACAGACAGAGCCAGUAAUGUAUUUUGGAGAGUUUAUGGCUGUCAGUGAAAUCCAGAGGAUGAUCAUCGCAGCUUACAGGACCGCAUAUACCCAGGACACCUUUGCUUUCGAGGAGCAUUACAGUCAGGGAAGAUUGAUUGAAACAGUGGCAAAAGGUAGACGCGGAGGUGCAUCUCCUCCCCUGUUCUGUCCCUGGCAGGGACCAGCCCCAGGUGCUUCAGAGGAGACUGUAAGACUCCUACAGUAGCAGAGGGAAAACCAUUUGCUCCCUACUUCCUGCUCUCUAAUUGUUGUCUGGAGCUCUGAGGAGCAAUGCUCAUUAUCCCUUUCCACAUGUUUGUUCGCAUUAACCUUGUUAGCUACAUAAAUUGCAAUGGCCCUAGCAUUGGCUGAGAUGCUCUCUGCAGUACAAUAAAGGCACUUUGAAGUCUUGGGUUU
This is a long non-coding RNA of Alligator sinensis (Chinese alligator), 789 nucleotides long. RefSeq lists it as uncharacterized. NCBI's taxonomy places the organism in Eukaryota, Metazoa, Chordata, Crocodylia, Alligatoridae. The record is from RefSeq and is a predicted model, not a curated record. The transcript is spliced from 3 exons.